CCACUACCUAAUGAAACUCGACUUCAGAGACAUGUGGUGAAUAAGGAGGAAGAGGACGAGGAUUUCUGCUGAGUAAAACCCGAGGUGGUUAACGGUGGUUGGAAGUGGUCGGAGUUGAACGAGGAGGAGGAUGAGGACUUGUGCUCGGUAUAACCCGAGGUAGUUCGCGUUGGUUGCGGGUGAUCGAGGUGGGCGAGGAGGAGGACGAGGAUGACGAGGACUUGUACACUUUCUGUGCCCCACGUGGUGAUCCACUAGUACACAUCCUCCGAUGUGACAUCGCUGUGCUACGUAUAAA
Long non-coding RNA from Neodiprion fabricii, 298 nucleotides. RefSeq lists it as uncharacterized. NCBI's taxonomy places the organism in Eukaryota, Metazoa, Arthropoda, Insecta, Hymenoptera, Diprionidae. The record is from RefSeq and is a predicted model, not a curated record. The transcript is spliced from 4 exons.